GCGCACGUAACUCAGUGGCCGAGUGCCCAGGGUGUGGACCUGGGAAGUUGGAGGUUCGAUUCCUCUCGUGCGCUCCA
This 77-nucleotide transfer RNA is filed under the name marine sediment metagenome. RNAcentral's name for it is "tRNA-His". It matches the Rfam family "tRNA". Rfam says of the family: Transfer RNA (tRNA) molecules are approximately 80 nucleotides in length. Their secondary structure includes four short double-helical elements and three loops (D, anti-codon, and T loops). The record is from RNAcentral.